Molecule: ribosomal RNA, 253 nt
Filed under: uncultured bacterium
Lineage: Bacteria
Description: partial 16S ribosomal RNA
Rfam family: Bacterial small subunit ribosomal RNA
Source: RNAcentral
UACGAAGGGUGCAAGCGUUAAUCGGAAUUACUGGGCGUAAAGGGUGCGUAGGCGGCUUUUUAAGUCGGAUGUGAAAUCCCCGGGCUCAACCUGGGAAUGGCAUCCGAUACUGGGGAGCUAGAGUUUGGGAGAGGGUGGUGGAAUUCCCGGUGUAGCGGUGAAAUGCGUAGAGAUCGGGAGGAACAUCAGUGGCGAAGGCGGCCACCUGGCCUAAAACUGACGCUGAGGCACGAAAGCGUGGGGAGCAAACAGG